RNAcentral lists this ribosomal RNA (245 nucleotides) under Mycoplasmopsis gallinarum. Its description in RNAcentral is "Mycoplasma gallinarum partial 16S ribosomal RNA". It matches the Rfam family "Bacterial small subunit ribosomal RNA", at positions 157 to 397 of the family's 1533-position model. The record is from RNAcentral. Lineage: Bacteria; Bacillati; Mycoplasmatota; Mycoplasmoidales; Metamycoplasmataceae.
CAACUAUUAAUAACAAAUACGUAUAAUUUUCGCAUGAAGAUUAUAUAAAAGUAGCGUUUGCUACACUAAGAGAGCGGGGUGCGUAACAUUAGUUAGUUGGUGAGGUAAUGGCUCACCAAGACGAUGAUGUUUAGCGGGGUUGAGAGACUGAACCGCCACACUGGGACUGAGAUACGGCCCAGACUCCUACGGGAGGCAGCAGUAGGGAAUAUUCCACAAUGAACGAAAGUUUGAUGGAGCGACAC